CCUACGGGUGGCAGCAGUGAGGAAUAUUGGUCAAUGGACGAGAGUCUGAACCAGCCAAGUAGCGUGAAGGAUGACUGCCCUAUGGGUUGUAAACUUCUUUUAUAUGGGAAUAAAAUGUUCCACGUGUGGGAUUUUGUAUGUACCAUAUGAAUAAGGAUCGGCGAACUCCGUGCCAGCAGCCGCGGUAAUACGGAGGAUCCGAGCGUUAUCCGGAUUUAUUGGGUUUAAAGGGAGCGUAGGUGGAUUGUUAAGUCAGUUGUGAAAGUUUGCGGCUCAACCGUAAAAUUGCAGUUGAAACUGGCAGUCUUGAGUACAGUAGAGGUGUGCGGAAUUCGUGGUGUAGCGGUGAAAUGCUUAGAUAUCACGAAGAACUCCGAUUGCGAAGGCAGUUCACUGGACUGCAACUGACACUGAGGCUCGAAAGUGUGGGUAUCAAACAGGAUUAGAUACCCGUGUAGUC
RNAcentral lists this ribosomal RNA (460 nucleotides) under uncultured bacterium. Its description in RNAcentral is "partial 16S ribosomal RNA". It matches the Rfam family "Bacterial small subunit ribosomal RNA", at positions 338 to 795 of the family's 1533-position model. The record is from RNAcentral.